UUGAAGCUAAUUAAGCUGACCAAGACUCUUUCCCAACAGGGAACUGAUGCACAAUGGUUGCAAAGAGCAGCCUCCUUAGUAGCAUAUGCAGGAGACACAUUUAUGGCAGUU
Molecule: small nucleolar RNA, 111 nt
Filed under: Meriones unguiculatus (Mongolian gerbil)
Lineage: Eukaryota; Metazoa; Chordata; Mammalia; Rodentia; Muridae
Description: Small nucleolar RNA SNORA70 (ENSMUGG00000015847.1)
Rfam family: Small nucleolar RNA SNORA70
About the family: snoRNA U70 seems to be exclusive to mammals and is a member of the H/ACA class of snoRNA which contain H (ANANNA) and ACA box motifs. H/ACA box snoRNAs are involved in the conversion of uridines to pseudouridines (5-ribosyluracil) a constituent of structural RNAs (transfer, ribosomal, small nuclear, and small nucleolar).
Source: RNAcentral